CUCACAGCUCUGAGGAGGCUGGAAGUCCAAGAUGGGUACAGUUCUGGCGAGAACACUCUUCCAGGCUUGUAGACACCUUCAACUCUGUCUCACGUGGCACAGAGAGGAAGCAAGCUCUCCACUAUGCCUUCUUACAAGGGCACUAAUCCCAUCACGGGGCCCCACCCUCACGGCCUCAUCUAAACCUAAUUACAUCCCAGAGGCCCCAUCUCCGAAUUCCAUCACAUUGGGGGUUAGAUCUCCAACAUAUGAAGGGGGGGGGCACAAUUCAGUCCAUAGCACCCACCUACUAAAAUAGCUGACUGGUUAUUUGUACAGUGCUCAUGUGCAAAUUUGCAUUUGGAAUCGUAUUAGUGGGAAUAGUUGUUCCUCAUGCAUGUCUUCUACGCAAAAACUUUGUUUUCCUCCAAGCAAUUCCCCCUUCGGUAUGCUGGCAAGGACAAUUGAAGAGGAAUGGACCAAGUUAGAAUCCCAGUAGUUGGAAGCAGACGGAAGGGUUAAUGGCUCUUCACAGCUCUGGAACUGCUCGUUUUAGCUGUACAGGCUCUGAACUACUGGUAGUCGGAGACCCCAGGGAUCUCCGAUAAUUUCCCCCUGAUUAUUGUUGUACUAAUUCUUCACUCCUCCAACCCCUCUGUAGUUGAUGGGUGAAAUAGCUCUUAAAGCAGCAAACAAAUUAGGCAAAUGCGUUUGAUCAUAAGUGCAGAUAAUACACACCCCACAGACUCUCUUUUGUGGCAUUUUUCUAUACAUAUUGACACAGCUGAUCUUUGCUUCUGCAGCAUGUACAUAAGUAUUAUCCAAGAUGACUGGCAUAUGGUGCUGUUACGUGUCUUUUAAGAAAAUCUCCAACCGAACCCAACAUUUCCCAUGUGGCACCUGAUAUGCAGUGGGCGAGGGGUAUUUAUAGAACAGUAAUAAUGAUAUUUGAAAACACUGUAAUGUCUAAAGCCUCUAUUUCUCUGCAAAUUUCAUCCAGAAGGCUGCAUUUUGCAGACACAAGCUCCCGCCAGCCAUUCACGGCGAUUGCUGGAAUGUUGAACAUUGUUGAGAUUCACAAAGUGGCUGUUUGGAGCGUUAACUGCCUCUGAACCCUUCAGAAGGAAAGUCACCUUCUCACGUGGAUGGAAAUAUUUGCAGGCGUGAUGGAGUGACUGAUCCCACCUUUGUACGGCCUCUGUACAUCGCACAUGCUUCUGCGGGGACAUCGGUGCCGGUUUGUUUCUGCAUCUGCGUCCUCUAGUAGACAGCGAACUCCUCAGCGGUUGUGACCAGUUUGGUGUUUAUGUUCCUGCGCCUGCGGUAAUGCCUGAUGCGCACUGAGCGCGAUGUUGAAUGAACGCGAUGUUGAAUGAACAGACGGAAGCGCGUGGAAGAUUGCCGCUGUCCAAAGAUCCCCGGCUUCGAGACUUCACUGUGAUGCGGUCACUGUUAGGAGGCAGUUUUUCGGACACUUUCAGUAAUAAAUCUUUUUUGAUAUCAUCUAUAGUAGCUCUGCCUCAUAGCAAGUUCCAGGCUAAAGCAGGUAAGGGGACAACAAACUGCCGUGGAGGCAGACAGACCUGGCUUGAGUCCUGGUUUUGUCACUAUGGGUUUACCUCAAUCUCUCGGAGCCUCCAUUUCCUCAUCUGUAAAAUAGGGGAGAACGUAAGGGCAGAGCCUGGUUGCCUGCCAACUAUUUCACUCCUCUUCUUGCUGACGGCAACGACGACGACAAAUCCUGAUUUUGUUUAGCUCCCGAUAUGCCCAAUCCCAGCAGAUGCGCUGAGACGACCUAAGGUGUCCAUUCCUGCUACCAAUGGUUGGUUGGUAGGGUCCGUAGGAGAGCAAGUGACCUAAUUCUGACUGAUGAGGCCAAACGGGACAUCUGGCAGAAGCUUCCCAGAAAAGAUUUUCCUCUCUGAUAAGUGACACAUGUGAAGAGAAAGCCCAUCUGCCUUCGGCCCUCUUGCUUCCUGAGCCAGAUGCUGUUGUGGAGACAUGAUGUUUGGGGUAAGAGCAGCCAUCUCUUCAAAACAAACGGGACCACCACUGACGCAUUAAUGAUGGCAGAGCUGAAGGACCCGAAGAGUGUAGGUCCUUGGAGCAACACUGAUCUAUUCAACGAAACUUGGUCUACCUAUCUCCAGAUUUCUGGUCAACAAUAAAUGUCUUUUAUUGUUUAA
Long non-coding RNA from Felis catus (domestic cat), 2165 nucleotides. RefSeq lists it as uncharacterized. The transcript has 3 exons. The record is from RefSeq and is a predicted model, not a curated record. NCBI's taxonomy places the organism in Eukaryota, Metazoa, Chordata, Mammalia, Carnivora, Felidae.